Molecule: non-coding RNA, 176 nt
Filed under: Alkalithermobacter paradoxus
Lineage: Bacteria; Bacillati; Bacillota; Clostridia; Peptostreptococcales; Tepidibacteraceae
Source: RNAcentral
UUUAAUAGUAUAGCAUGUGGUGCCCUAAAGGGUUAAAAGGGAAAGUGGUUAGAAUCCACUACAGCCCCCGCUACUGUAAAUGGGAAUGAAAUCCAAUAAAGCCAUUGGGAAACCGAGAAGGCUGGAGAGUAAGAUGAUCCAUAAGUCAGGAAACCUGCCAUAUGUAUAUUAACUUU